CUGGUGUGUGUCUUGCUUUUUCUCAAGCAGAGAGGACGCAUACACCUCUGCACCCUUGAACGCAGAUCGAGACAGAAAUAUGAAGCUCCCAGCCAGCAAGCAGCAG
This is a long non-coding RNA of Megalops cyprinoides (Indo-Pacific tarpon), 106 nucleotides long. RefSeq lists it as uncharacterized. The transcript is spliced from 3 exons. The record is from RefSeq and is a predicted model, not a curated record. Lineage: Eukaryota; Metazoa; Chordata; Actinopteri; Elopiformes; Megalopidae.